Molecule: ribosomal RNA, 478 nt
Filed under: uncultured Actinomycetes bacterium
Lineage: Bacteria; Bacillati; Actinomycetota; Actinomycetes
Description: bacterial SSU rRNA
Rfam family: Bacterial small subunit ribosomal RNA
Source: RNAcentral
GACGAACGCUGGCGGCGUGCUUAACACAUGCAAGUCGAGCGGAAAGGCCCCUUCGGGGGUACUCGAGCGGCGAACGGGUGAGUAACACGUGAGCAACCUGCCCCUGACUCUGGGAUAAGCCUGGGAAACUGGGUCUAAUACCGGAUACGACCCGCCAUCGCAUGGUGUGCGGGUGGAAAGAUUUCAUCGGUUGGGGAUGGGCUCGCGGCCUAUCAGCUUGUUGGUGGGGUGAUGGCCUACCAAGGCGACGACGGGUAGCCGGCCUGAGAGGGCGACCGGUCACACUGGGACUGAGACACGGCCCAGACUCCUACGGGAGGCAGCAGUGGGGAAUAUUGCGCAAUGGGCGGAAGCCUGACGCAGCGACGCCGCGUGGGGGAUGACGGCCUUCGGGUUGUAAACCCCUUUCAGCAUCGACGAAGCUUCAUCCUUGCAGGGUGGGGUGACGGUAGGUGCAGAAGAAGCGCCGGCUAACUAC